RNAcentral lists this long non-coding RNA (572 nucleotides) under Struthio camelus australis. RNAcentral describes it as "lncRNA (ENSSCUG00000003552.1)". Lineage: Eukaryota; Metazoa; Chordata; Aves; Struthioniformes; Struthionidae. The record is from RNAcentral.
UGCGUUUAUACAACUUAGAUAAAACUUUUUGACUUAGGCUUUUCUAUUUGCAAGUCCAAGAACUAAAUAGGCUUGUUGCAUUAAUUGGUAUUUUAUGUAGAAAGGUUGGAAGUUGAUUCAUCAGUGUCAUUAAAAAGAAAUGAUCCGUGACAUUAUUUUUCAUUGCACUGAGACACAGUCAACAGAAGUUUGUUUGUUUGUGUGUUUUCUUGUUCAGGUUAGUCCAUUUCGUUUGAUGAUAGAACAGUACUGUGUUUUCCAACUAAGAGUAUAAUCUCACAGAGGGACGACAUGCUAUCAAGAUUUCAGACCUGAGCCCUGACACUUAAAAACAUGCAAAGGUACAGAUUUUGUGCAAGAGGAUGAUUUUGCCCAUGGGCUACAAAGUUAAAAGACUAAGUCUUGGAAAGGAACAACAUGCUGCAUUCAGGAACUACAGCUGUGCCAUCUCAUAAGAAGAUUGCAGCAGAUAUCAGAAACCAGAAAGCAAGUGAGUUUGCCAAUUAUAUGGGUAGAAGAUCUACAAGGAAAUCUAGGUCUUUCAGAAUGAGAUGAGAAGAGGGUAAUUCAAC